Long non-coding RNA from Mesoplodon densirostris (Blainville's beaked whale), 923 nucleotides. RefSeq lists it as uncharacterized. NCBI's taxonomy places the organism in Eukaryota, Metazoa, Chordata, Mammalia, Artiodactyla, Ziphiidae. The record is from RefSeq and is a predicted model, not a curated record. The transcript has 3 exons.
UCUGGCCUUACCUUUAGGUCUUCAAUCCAUUUUGAGUUUAUUUUUGUGUUAUGGUGUUAGGUAGUGUUCUCAUUUCAUUCUUUUACAGGUAGCUGUCCAGUUUUCCCAGCGCCACUUAUUGAAGAGGCUGUCUUUUCUCCAUUGUAUAUUCUUGCCUCCUUCAUCAAAGAUAAGAUUCCAGCUAAGUGGUUCCCCGUUUGUUGCAGCAGUGAUUCUGAGUUUGGCUCUGUCGUUUGAAGACUUGAUGGUCUCUAAAGGGAUUAAGUUUCUACAGAACUAAUCUCAGUUAGACUCCUAGAAGCACGCCCCGCUCCUAGGAGUAUAACACGAAAACUCGCCUCCGUUCAUUCUAGAAGAUGCUGGCUUCUUCUCGAUGAUCUGCACAAGAGGCUUCUCCCUUCCUUCUUCACGGCUGUCGUCAGUGUCUGGAUUGACCUCUUGUUGAACAUCCUCAUCUCUCCUGGGCUCUGUGAUCUGGAAGUAAGAGAAGGAGCAAGGAUGUCAGAUUUCAAAGUGGCAACUGUCCAGAUAUAAAGGUUUUCACAUUCUUAGUCAAUUCUAACCAGAAUUGAGACUCAUUUAUGAUUGCAGUUUUAUCUCAAAUUCUCCAUUCUGAACCCCAGUCCUGAACCCAUUCAUUGUUUUCAAGUGCGAUUCUUGGACUUUGGUGACCCUGACUCCAAAAACUACUGAAUACACCCAAGGUCAGGCCCAGUAAAAUCUGCUUUAUAGCCCAGACUCCAGGUGUUUCUGCUCAGGGAGCUGGCAUUUGGAGAAUGCUGCUUUAGUCUUAACUCACCUUGGUCCUUUGGCACCACUUAAAUUCUGAACUUGGAAGCACACUACAGACAUCACUGACAAGUCAACAUCGUGGACCAGGAGACCUGAGGCCAGAUCCCUAACCCUAACCCUGCAUCCUAAUG